RNAcentral lists this ribosomal RNA (1216 nucleotides) under Escherichia marmotae. RNAcentral describes it as "partial 23S ribosomal RNA". It matches the Rfam family "Bacterial large subunit ribosomal RNA", at positions 1 to 1258 of the family's 2925-position model. The record is from RNAcentral. Lineage: Bacteria; Pseudomonadati; Pseudomonadota; Gammaproteobacteria; Enterobacterales; Enterobacteriaceae.
GGUUAAGCGACUAAGCGUACACGGUGGAUGCCCUGGCAGUCAGAGGCGAUGAAGGACGUGCUAAUCUGCGAUAAGCGUCGGUAAGGUGAUAUGAACCGUUAUAACCGGCGAUUUCCGAAUGGGGAAACCCAGUGUGAUUCGUCACACUAUCAUUAACUGAAUCCAUAGGUUAAUGAGGCGAACCGGGGGAACUGAAACAUCUAAGUACCCCGAGGAAAAGAAAUCAACCGAGAUUCCCCCAGUAGCGGCGAGCGAACGGGGAGGAGCCCAGAGCCUGAAUCAGUAUGUGUGUUAGUGGAAGCGUCUGGAAAGGCGUGCGAUACAGGGUGACAGCCCCGUACACAAAAAUGCACAUGCUGUGAGCUCGAUGAGUAGGGCGGGACACGUGGUAUCCUGUCUGAAUAUGGGGGGACCAUCCUCCAAGGCUAAAUACUCCUGACUGACCGAUAGUGAACCAGUACCGUGAGGGAAAGGCGAAAAGAACCCCGGCGAGGGGAGUGAAAAAGAACCUGAAACCGUGUACGUACAAGCAGUGGGAGCCUCUUUAUGGGGUGACUGCGUACCUUUUGUAUAAUGGGUCAGCGACUUAUAUUCUGUAGCAAGGUUAACCGAAUAGGGGAGCCGAAGGGAAACCGAGUCUUAACUGGGCGUUAAGUUGCAGGGUAUAGACCCGAAACCCGGUGAUCUAGCCAUGGGCAGGUUGAAGGUUGGGUAACACUAACUGGAGGACCGAACCGACUAAUGUUGAAAAAUUAGCGGAUGACUUGUGGCUGGGGGUGAAAGGCCAAUCAAACCGGGAGAUAGCUGGUUCUCCCCGAAAGCUAUUUAGGUAGCGCCUCGUGAAUUCAUCUCCGGGGGUAGAGCACUGUUUCGGCAAGGGGGUCAUCCCGACUUACCAACCCGAUGCAAACUGCGAAUACCGGAGAAUGUUAUCACGGGAGACACACGGCGGGUGCUAACGUCCGUCGUGAAGAGGGAAACAACCCAGACCGCCAGCUAAGGUCCCAAAGUCAUGGUUAAGUGGGAAACGAUGUGGGAAGGCCCAGACAGCCAGGAUGUUGGCUUAGAAGCAGCCAUCAUUUAAAGAAAGCGUAAUAGCUCACUGGUCGAGUCGGCCUGCGCGGAAGAUGUAACGGGGCUAAACCAUGCACCGAAGCUGCGGCAGCGACACUAUGUGUUGUUGGGUAGGGGAGCGUUCUGUAAGCCGUUGAAGGUG